This 301-nucleotide ribosomal RNA is filed under the name uncultured bacterium. RNAcentral describes it as "partial 16S ribosomal RNA". It matches the Rfam family "Bacterial small subunit ribosomal RNA", at positions 509 to 807 of the family's 1533-position model. The record is from RNAcentral.
CAGCCGCCGCGGGAACACGUAGGGCGCAAGCGUUGUCCGGAAUUAUUGGGCGUAAAGAGCUCGUAGGCGGUCUGUCGCGUCUGGUGUGAAAUCCCGAGGCUCAACCUCGGGCUUGCAUCGGGUACGGGCAGACUAGAGUGCGGUAGGGGAGACUGGAAUUCCUGGUGUAGCGGUGGAAUGCGCAGAUAUCAGGAGGAACACCGAUGGCGAAGGCAGGUCUCUGGGCCGCAACUGACGCUGAGGAGCGAAAGCAUGGGGAGCGAACAGGAUUAGAGACCCCUGUAGUCCCUGUCUCUUAUAC